RNAcentral lists this long non-coding RNA (495 nucleotides) under Chinchilla lanigera (long-tailed chinchilla). Its description in RNAcentral is "lncRNA (ENSCLAG00000024159.1)". The record is from RNAcentral. Lineage: Eukaryota; Metazoa; Chordata; Mammalia; Rodentia; Chinchillidae.
UAGUCCUUUCUAUUUUGUGUGCUAUCUCAGGUUGCUGAUUGCUGAUAAACUGCUGGUAAUGGUGAGUGGCUAUACUGGCAUCAGCAAAGGCAUAUCCCAAGAUAGCAGAACAUGAACAGAGUGGAGUAACGGCAUGGAUUGCUGACACCAGAAGCCAGGAUUUUCUCGGCAUCCCAACAAGUCACUAGGCAUGAGGAUCCAAGAAGGAAAGCUGUCUUGUGAGCCCAAGGCCACUAAAGAGUUUAUGAGGGACACUUCAUCAGAAAGCCCCUGGGUGCCGGUAGUAACAGAGCCUGUCGUGCCAGGAUCAGAGAUCAAGAAUGGAAAGACCUGAGCUCAUUUCCUGUUAUAUAGCAGGCAUUCAACAAAUAGUGACUGCUAUGGUUUGAAUGAUUUUCUUCUCUCAAAUUCAUGUGGAAAUUUAGUUGCCCUUGUAACAAUAUUAAAAGAUGGGAUUGUUAAGAGCUGAUUAGGUCGGGAUGGGUUUCACCUUCA